CGUCGGGCCUAUUUUGUUGGUUCUAGGACCGUCGUAAUGAUUAAUAGGGACAGUUGGGGCCGUUCAUAUUCCGUAGUCAGAGGUGAAAUUCUUGGAUUUACGGAAGAUGAACUACUGCGAAAGCAUUCGGCAAGGAUGUUUUCGUUAAUCAAGAACGAAAGUUAGGGGAUCGAAGACGAUCAGAUACCGUCGUAGUCUUAACCAUAAACUAUGCCGACUCGGGAUCAGCGGGCGUUGUUUACGACCCCGCUGGCACCGUGUGAGAAAUCAAAGUCUUUGGGUUCCGGGGGGAGUAUGGUCGCAAGGCUGAAACUUAAAGGAAUUGACGGAAGGGCACCACCAGGAGUGGAGCCUGCGGCUUAAUUUGACUCAACACGGGGAAACUCACCA
RNAcentral lists this ribosomal RNA (390 nucleotides) under Eukaryota sp. RNAcentral describes it as "SSU rRNA". It matches the Rfam family "Eukaryotic small subunit ribosomal RNA", at positions 829 to 1220 of the family's 1831-position model. The record is from RNAcentral.